This 220-nucleotide ribosomal RNA is filed under the name uncultured bacterium. Its description in RNAcentral is "partial 16S ribosomal RNA". It matches the Rfam family "Bacterial small subunit ribosomal RNA", at positions 117 to 331 of the family's 1533-position model. The record is from RNAcentral.
GUGGAUUACCUGCCCUCGGCACCGGGAUAGCCCGGGGAAACCCGGAUUAAUACCGGAUAGCCCGUCCGGCUCUCGAGCCGGCCGGAAAAAAUAGCUUCGGCCUCUGGCCGAGGAUGGGUCCGCGGCGGAUUAGCUUGUUGGUGGGGUAACGGCUCACCAAGGCGUCAAUCCGUAGCUGGUCUGAGAGGACGAUCAGCCACACUGGGACUGAGACACGGCC